GCUUGUCCUUUGCUUACAGAUUUGUGCCUGCUUGUGUUCACAAUCGCAUGCGAUAGAGCUCUGGACACGGAGUAAGAAGACUAGGAGAUGACACUGCCCAUAGAAGCAAGCACCGGCGCGCGACCAGAGAGUGUCACGUUGGGGGAGAGAAAAAAGGCAGUUGCUGACUUUACGCGACAGAUAGUACGGCGGCACUGUCUUCCAUUUUGCGCUUUUACAUGGAAGUCUAUGGGGAAAGCAAUGCUUUUCGCGAGUCGUACGGCAGCCUCUAUGAACGAAGACUAACUGAUGAACGUGAACGAUGUUUGUCUUGGGAAUAAAGGUCGCGCUUGUCAACUACAUAGCGCUUCCUGUUUAGCGAAAACAACGGAAAACAAUUUCAUUCUCUUGCCUCUCGGUUCUAUUGAGCAGACGACAGGAGCACGAUGAUCGAGUAAGCGUUUCAUCUUCUUCUUUUCUAGCGUUUAAUUCACGUGCUUUCACGUGUUUUAGUCACGCCGCCAGACAUGUGACAGUAUCACGUGACCGCAUGCUUCGGAAAUUAUGCGUCCUCGUGCAACAGAUGGCACUGCGGGCCGGGCCGCGUAGCGCGCGCUCCUCGUACAUUCUCUGGUCGCGGGAGAGAGUGAAGUUUCAUCUCCUAGUCUUCUUACUCCGUGGCUCUGGAGCACAGCAGCUGAAUAUCGUUUUCUUUCUCUGUAGAAUGAUGUUGCGAAUGAGUGACGAACACAAUGGAAGUGUAGGGCUGACCUUAAUGUGUUAACAAGAUUGUCGUUUGGUUACGUUCGAUGCUGUCUGUUCAGUGUGGUUGCGACGAACAAUAUGGAGAUGUGGGACUGACCUAUGUGUGUGUUAAGAUGCAAUCGUUUGGAUACGUUGUUGGCACGAGUGCCUCUUCGAUUCACGUCUUUAAUUUUUUUAUAGGUGCUUGCAGGGUCAUGGAAUGAAGGUCACGAUUACUACGCCUGGCUGUGUCGGCACUUCAGCUGAGCUAGAGCUACGAUCACAUUUUAGGAAAACGAAAACAGUUGCAUUUUCUUGUCCCCUUGUGUUCUAUGUACUCGCUAAUCUGACGCUGUCUGCUCUCACUACUCUGUGCUGUUGUCACUAAUCUGUGCUGACUGUGUUGCAGUGAAAUAUGGGUGCAGCGACCAUUUUGCCAGGGGCAUUUGUUUUUAAAACAGUGCGUACGUUGAGCAGUUCUUUCAUUUGAUAUCGGGCUGUCAAAACCGCACGCAUUAUGUUGGCGCGGGUACCUCAUGGUUUCAUGUAUUUUAUAGGUGCUUCAAGGCUCAUGGACUGGAGGUGACGAAUACAACGCCUGUCCUUUGGGUCAUUUGUUGGCACUUUGGCUUAGCUGCAACUACGAUCCUAUUUCAGUGUACCUCGGAAACGUUCCUUCCUGCUACCCACAGCCGUCUACCACCCCACACGUGUGUAAAGUACUGGUUGCAUUUGGAGCACUCAAGCAUGAACCCAAAGACAGAGGCAAUGGUUGCAGCUGCAAGUGAUACAAGUGCUGCGAUUUCUGUACAUGUACAUUAUUAUCUACUUUGGAAGAGUACCAAGAUUUGCUGGUAUGUGACUGUGCAAUAAGGGGAAAUGCUCACGAUGUCUGCUGACUUGUCCACAUGUUUGGAAGUCAAUGUUUGCCCGGUAUGUUCAUAGAAAUAAAUCUUGUACCAACAUC
Molecule: long non-coding RNA, 1690 nt
Organism: Ornithodoros turicata
Lineage: Eukaryota; Metazoa; Arthropoda; Arachnida; Ixodida; Argasidae
Exons: 2
Source: RefSeq, a predicted model, not a curated record